Molecule: transfer RNA, 71 nt
Filed under: Candidatus Pacearchaeota archaeon
Lineage: Archaea; Nanobdellati
Description: tRNA-Gly
Rfam family: tRNA
About the family: Transfer RNA (tRNA) molecules are approximately 80 nucleotides in length. Their secondary structure includes four short double-helical elements and three loops (D, anti-codon, and T loops). Further hydrogen bonds mediate the characteristic L-shaped molecular structure. tRNAs have two regions of fundamental functional importance: the anti-codon, which is responsible for specific mRNA codon recognition, and the 3' end, to which the tRNAs corresponding amino acid is attached (by aminoacyl-tRNA synthetases). tRNAs cope with the degeneracy of the genetic code in two manners: having more than one tRNA (with a specific anti-codon) for a particular amino acid; and 'wobble' base-pairing, i.e. permitting non-standard base-pairing at the 3rd anti-codon position.
Source: RNAcentral
GCGGGCGUAGUAUAGUGGUAAUACGCGUGCUUGCCAAGUACGAGCUGGCGGUUCGAUUCCGCUCGCCCGCU